Molecule: ribosomal RNA, 394 nt
Filed under: uncultured bacterium
Lineage: Bacteria
Description: bacterial SSU rRNA
Rfam family: Bacterial small subunit ribosomal RNA
Source: RNAcentral
GACGAACGCUGACGGCGUGCCUAAUACAUGCAAGUUGAACGUGAACGGCUUCGGCCUAGUAAAGUAGCGUACGGGUGAGUAAUACGUAGGUAAUCUACCAAAAAGCCUGGAAUAACCGGCCGAAAGGCUGGCUAAUACCGGAUAGUGCGAAAGGUUCAGAUGAACUUUUCGGGAAAGGGAGCUCGCAAGAGCCCUCACUUUUUGAUGAGCCUGCGCCCCAUUAGCUAGUUGGUGAGGAAAGCUCACCAAGGCUGUGAUGGGUAGCUGGUCUAAGAGGAUGAUCAGCCACACUGGAACUGAAACACGGUCCAGACUCCUACGGGAGGCAGCAGUAGGGAAUAUUGCGCAAUGGACGAAAGUCUGACGCAGCAACGCCGUGUGAGUGAAGAAGGCC